This 272-nucleotide ribosomal RNA is filed under the name uncultured Staphylococcus sp. RNAcentral's name for it is "partial 16S ribosomal RNA". It matches the Rfam family "Bacterial small subunit ribosomal RNA", at positions 90 to 355 of the family's 1533-position model. The record is from RNAcentral. Lineage: Bacteria; Bacillati; Bacillota; Bacilli; Caryophanales; Staphylococcaceae.
CGUUAGCGGCGGACGGGUGAGUAACACGUGGGUAACCUACCUAUAAGACUGGGACAACUUCGGGAAACCGGAGCUAAUACCGGAUAAGAUAUCGAACCGCAUGGUUCGAUAGUGAAAGAUGGUUUUGCUAUCACUUAUAGAUGGACCCGCGCCGUAUUAGCUAGUUGGUGAGGUAACGGCUCACCAAGGCAACGAUACGUAGCCGACCUGAGGGGGUGAUCGGCCACACUGGAACUGAGACACGGUCCAGACUCCUACGGGAGGCAGCAGCA